Non-coding RNA from Colletotrichum godetiae, 93 nucleotides. The record is from the annotation of a RefSeq genome assembly. Lineage: Eukaryota; Fungi; Ascomycota; Sordariomycetes; Glomerellales; Glomerellaceae.
GGCCCUCUGGCGCAACGGUAGCGCGUUCGACUCCAGAUUGAAAUAUCUCGAGAUGUCAUCGAAAGGUUAUCUGUUCAAAUCAGGUGGGGGUCA